RNAcentral lists this ribosomal RNA (253 nucleotides) under uncultured bacterium. Its description in RNAcentral is "partial 16S ribosomal RNA". It matches the Rfam family "Bacterial small subunit ribosomal RNA", at positions 524 to 776 of the family's 1533-position model. The record is from RNAcentral.
GACGAACCGUGCGAACGUUGUUCGGAAUCACUGGGCUUAAAGGGCGCGUAGGCGGCUUCGCAAGUCCGGGGUGAAAGCCCCCAGCUCAACUGGGGAAGUGCCUCGGAUACUGCGGGGCUCGAGGGAGGUAGGGGUGCGUGGAACUUCCGGUGGAGCGGUGAAAUGCGUUGAUAUCGGAAGGAACGCCGGUGGCGAAAGCGACGCACUGGACCUCUUCUGACGCUGAGGCGCGAAAGCCAGGGGAGCAAACGGG